UGGUCUUGAUCUCCUGUCCUCGUGAUCCGACCACCUCGGCCUCCCAAAGUGCUGGGAUUACAAGCGUAAGCCACCGCGCCUGGCCAUUUUUCUUUUUAAUCAAUCCUGCCACUUGAAGAUUAUAUGGUAAGGGAAAUCUGCAGUCUAUACACAAUACUGAGUUGCUCCAAGCCCUUGAGGAUUGUGAGGGACCCAGUGUUCUAAUUCUUGCUAGAGUGUCUACCUCCAUGUUACCAGAGGCGAGUCUGACCGGGUACUGACAUGUGAUAUACCAUUAAGUGUGCAGUGGGUUCUUUUAGCCUUUCCCAAAUGUCUUUCCACAUGGCAGCGCCCCACAGCAUUUUCUUUUUCUUCUUUUUUCUUUUUCUUUUUUUUUUUUUUCUUUUUUUUCCUGGGCAACAGAGUCUCACUCUGUUGCCCGGGCUAGAGUGCAGUGGCGUGAUC
This 444-nucleotide long non-coding RNA is filed under the name Homo sapiens (human). Its description in RNAcentral is "non-protein coding lnc-DHDH-1:1". The record is from RNAcentral. Lineage: Eukaryota; Metazoa; Chordata; Mammalia; Primates; Hominidae.